CCCGUUGCACGUACGUUAACUGGCAAACGGGACGAGUUCAAACCGAGUUUCAGUACGCGCGAAAAUGAUUUGAAGGCUGUCCUAGAUAUUAAGUUUGCCGUAUUUGGGAGUACCACCCGCCUAACAAAAGUUUUAACAGAUUCUUUAAUAGAAGACCAGACUUGCAUAUCAUCAUGUCUGGCUGAGGGAAAAGGCUGUAUGAAUUAAGGGAAUAUUUUCUUACACGUCCACUUAAAAAAGGGAGCACUUCUAGCUAUGCUUUCUUUCUUGUUUGUUUGUUUUAAAUUAGCCUGUAGAGUCUGAAAGGUAGAAUGAAGUUGGAAAAGACCACAGUGUUUGAAACACAAAAUGAACUGACUUAUGAGAAUUGGAUAAAAAGAAGGAAAAAUUGAUCAUUUCAGAAUCUUGAGUGUGGCCCCAUGAACACCUACAGUUGGCUUUUUAAGAGAACAGCUGAGCAGAUCAAUACUUUACCAACAAUGAAAAAAGUAAUUUCAUUAUUUUGUAAUUGAAACUAAUAAUGCUCCAUGGCUAGUUUGUCCUAUACCUUUAAAGACUGUGCAUACAACUUUUUCCUACUUGAAUAACAAAGUGUAAUUAGGAGAAUUUCUGUAAAUCACAUUCAGUUUGUCAAUUAUCCAAAUAAAUUUUAGAAAACUAAAAGUUCAGAUAAUAUUGCUGAAAGAAAUUAUAUCAAGAAUGAUUGAUAUAAAACUAUGUAUUUUUCAUUUCAUUUUCAUGUACUAAUGCCUUAAAAUGUGUGAUGUUGUGGGAUUAAUAUAUUGUUUAUUAAAUCACAGAAAGGGAUAACUGAAGAUUUGGCAUAAUUGCAAGAAAUUUUGCAAAUUGAAUGUAUUUACUAAACGUAGAUACCUGUCUUAUUGAGAGGGGCUGUUAGUCCAUAUUUAUUUAUAUCCUUCUUUUGAGUUCUUUCAAAAAGAAAAAACUCAAGGCAGCUUACAUCAUUCAUCUGUUCUCUAUCUUAUCCCCAGAACCACAACCCUGUGAGGUAGGUUGGGCUCAGAGUGGCCCAAAGUCACCCAGUUGGGUGCAUGGCUGAGUGAGGACAAGAACCCAGAUUGCCUGAAUCCCUGUCCCACACUCUUAACCAUCACACCACAUUGGCUCUCAGUAUUGAGAGCCGUCCAGAAACGCAGAGUGAUGGACAGCCUAGAAAUAUCCCAAAUAAAUAAAUAAUAAAUAUUGAUCUUAUUCAGUAUCAACUACAGGAGAAAGCAUGAAGCCCUAGACAGCUUUCUUUGCACUCACUGAGGCCCUACCCUCACUUUUUAAAUUAAUGUUUUUAGAAGCUGCUGGGAAUUUUUAAAAACCUUUAUCAUCUAUCAGAAAAAUCCUUGAAAAAGUAUUACUUAUCAAAAUUUUGAUUUUUUGUGGUUUUGUUAUAUUUGAAUAAUUGUGCCAACAGGUAUAUGUUUUUGUUUUGUAAAAGUUUCAGUCUUUACAGGUGCACAGUUAUGAAAAGUCUGAAAUAAAAGUCUUGCCUGAGACAGUGUCCUAGGAGAUACCUGCUGGCAGUAGCUACCAUCCAUGGACACUGACCAAAAGAAGCAGCAGCUGCUGCUGCUGUUAUAUUGUGUUCAUGCCCCACUUUUUUUUCUCUUGUGAGGAACCCAAGGCACCAUUUAUCCUCAGUACUACUACUACUACAACCAUGUGAGGUAGAUUGGGCUGAGAAUCUGUGACUGGCCCAAAGUCACCAUUGAGCUUCAAAGCAGAGUGGGGACUAAAACCAGAUCUUUAGGGUCCCAGUCCAGCACUCUAGCCUAGCCACCAUACUACACCAGCUCAAAUGCACAAACACUCAUUUAGAACUAUAAUGCUGGUAUUUGUUUAUUUAGAGCUGUAUAUUUUCUACCUAAUUACACAUUUUAAAAAUCCCUGCAGCGGCUGAUAGUGGGACAGAGAUCUCCCAGAUUGUGUAAAGACCUUAUCUGAUGUAUCUGUCUUUCUUUUCAGGUCCCCUUUGUGAGACAAAGAAAAUGUUCUGUAAUGAUGGCUCUUUGGGAAAAAAAAACUUAAUAAAUUUGGGGUUUGAAGGAGGCUAGUAUGGAAAUAUGGACGUGUUGAUAGCAUGUUGAGUUGAAACUUUUCAUUAUGGAAGAUUUAAAAUAAGAUUUUAAAACUGCAUUUAAUUUCAACUAAACAACACAUGUUUAGCCUCUUUAUGGGUAUUUACUUCAGUUGUUUCAGUUGGAUUGUGCUUCCUUAAGGAGUAAUGCUUUAAUUCCAGAGUCAUUAUUCCUGUAGUUUAAUAAGAUGAACGUGUCUAGAAAUUAGUAUCACCUUGACAACUGUUUCAAUGGCUGAUUCAAAUAAAGACAAGAAACCACUGCCUGGUUUGUAAUUGAAAUUACAGAUGGAUACUGAAAACACAUCAAUAUAAGGUAUAUUUAUCUGAGUCAGGAGGCAUACAGUACUAUUAAAUUACUAUUGGAUUAUUUUUGUGGAGUGGUAACUAGCCAUUGCAGUAACCCUUAAAAUAUUUGAAUGUACUAUUAUUUAAUUAAAGAUGUGUUCUGGAAAAUAUAGGGCUAUCAUAGUAUAAUUCUUGAAAAUCAUUAUUUUUCAUUUAAUGUCAAGGCUUAAAGAUGCACCUUUUAUAGGAUUAAAGAACAAGUUCUAAUGUAAUCCCUUGAGCUUACAUCUAUGAUUUUCAGAUGAAGAGGUUACACAAUACAUGCAGAUAAGCUGAUGCAGAGGAAUGGAGACAUUCAACAAGUAUUCUAUUACUGCAUUAAUUGAAACAAAAGAUGCCUAAGAACCUAAUACUAUAAAAGUCUCAUUAGUGUUAUAGUUUUCUUUUUCCACUUGUGCCUUCAAAUAGUACAAGAGCAACAUUUUAGUUUUGAGCCACUGGAGGGCAGACAUGAAUUAAACUCUUAAUUUCAUUUUCAAGGAAGCCCCAUGACUUCCUCAUUGAUAGAGGUCAACAUUAGUUUACAUUUUCAAAGCAUAUGUGCCAUGCUUUCAUUUCAAAGAACUGUCUAAUUGGCUUCCAACAAUAAAUCAGACAGUUAAAAAAUUACAAACUCCUACAAAAAUGUCAAGAGUACUAGAAUAAGGGGACUUAAUUUAAUCUGAAAUGUAUUUGUUAAUUUUGUGAUUAAUGCUUUAUUAAUUGCUACUGAUAUUUUAAAUAUCUCAAAAUUAAAAAGUAGUAAAAUGAAAGAAUUGCAUUUGUUACUGUAUUAUUAUUGUUUGCUUCUUUAAGUGGUGUCAAGAGAACUGCUCAGAUUUGUGUUGUGCAGCAUACCUUGAGCAAGAAUUGACUGGAUAUUUUAGGACUAGCCAUGCAUAAUUCAGAAAACUGAGAAAUGACUGACAAGUGACACAACUGCUGCUGACUUUUUGAAAGAAAUGCAAGUGAUCCUAAACAUACUUACUAGAGAGAAAGCGCUACUGAAAAUUGUUUGACUUUGAACUAAGCAUGUGGCUGUAAGUCGUAACUAUUCUAGGAAGCAGGAGGCCUCAGAUGACAAAACAUUAUUUUACUUUAAUGAUGUGAAUGCAAGAUGACAUUCUGAAAAGCAGCAAAAGCUCAGAGUAUCCAGAGAUCUUUGGUAUGUUUACUUGCAUGCUUUUUAGUAUGCUGAAUAAUACAAUGGUUUAUUUUGGAGAAAGGGCAAACCCAUUGGUAAAGCACCUGCCCUCUACCAUGCAUUCAGUGGCAUAUGUUGGGACAUUUAUGUUAGCUUUAUGUCAUAUUUGCCUUUUUAACGUGCCUACUAUUUUAACAGAAAUUGUUUUUAGCUGUUUAAGGGUGGCAUAUCUGGAGUCCCCGCUAGAAUUCUAUGUAAAAUGAAAACAGCUAUAUUAGUUAAGCUGUCCAUCAUACCCAAAAUCUCUUCUAUAUUUGAAAUAGUAAUUGAUGUAAUAGUACUUUCAAACCAGCACAAACAAGGUAUUUGUCCUUCCUAAGGAUAAAGCUAUUUUUUCUAGAUGGCAUUAAUGAAUGUUAAUCAAGGUUUAACAAAUUAACAAAAUUUUGUGGUCAUAUUAUUCAAACUCACAAGCAUGCAAAAAUCUGGGGAAAUAACUGCCACACCUUCUCUGCUUCUACAUGCAUCAAUUCUUUUUAGCUGGCUUCAAGCCAGUGAGAUCUCUAUUUAAUUUUGCCUGUAGCAUUUUUCUUGUAAUUUUAAUUGUGUGUGUGUUUGUGUUGGGCUAAAAUCCAAAUUGUUAUGUGUGUUACAGAAAAGCAUAUCUACUUGGGGAAGAGAGUGAUAGGUUUUCAAUGUUUGGUUCUAACUGCAGGUCUUUUGUGUGGUAUGAAGUCCUGAUAUGGAGAUUCCUGGCUUCCAGGGCAGCUUUCCAGAGAUAGAAGAGCCUCUACUGUGAAAGGAGGCUGGAAAAGCCAUGUUGUAUGAUUCUAACACUUUGGAUCUUAGCUGAGGACUGAACAGUAGUGUGUAUUCCAAGAUUCUACAACUGCAUUGCCGACUUACAGCAUUUCAUAUCAGACACAGAUGUAUCAUCUCAAGAACUUCAAAUUUUUAAAGCUGGUUCCUAGCAGUUAAGGGUAGAAAGUCUCAAAGAUGCAUAAGUAAUGUUUAAAGAAAUUAAGUCCACCAAAAAGUGUGAUAGUAAGCAGGGUUUCAAUAAUCAAGGGAAGGUCUGCUGUUCUCAUUUGCAAAAUGUAAAAUAAAUGUAUGCAUGUGUUUGUAAUUCA
Varanus komodoensis (Komodo dragon) is the source of this 4690-nucleotide long non-coding RNA. RefSeq lists it as uncharacterized. The record is from RefSeq and is a predicted model, not a curated record. NCBI's taxonomy places the organism in Eukaryota, Metazoa, Chordata, Lepidosauria, Squamata, Varanidae. The transcript is spliced from 3 exons.